CUUGAGUUUUUUUUUUUUUAAAAAAAAAUAUUAGAUCCUCUUUUAAUUUCUGGUAAGAGAAAUGUGUGGAUUUCGGCCUGUUUUUUUUGUUUUUUUUUUUAAGAUUUGUUUUGAGCCUUCUUCUCUAAUUGUUUAUGGAUGUAUCUAUGUGUUUAAAUGUAUACAUCUGCAUUUCAGCACUCAAGUGUUAUUUUUCUGCAACGUCAGUUUAUUUCUUAAAAGUGGGUUUGGUAUAAUUGCUAUUGAUGUAGAUAUCUGCAUUUAAGCACUCAAGUGUUAUCUUUCUUCAACAUCGAUUUAUUUCUUAAAAGUGGGUUUGCUACAAUUGCUAUUUCUUUGUUCUUUGAUCUUAUAGCUUUUGCUUGCGUUAUUAUGUUCAUGUUGCUAUUCGUCUGGUACUGUUUUAUGGUUUCAGCCUCUGUUAUGUUCAUAAUAUGUUAUUUAACUCUAAGGAUACAAAAUCUAUUCACCUCAUUUAUUUGUUUCUUUUUCUAUUUUCUCUUGGUAUGCAUUUGAUUUUGCUUCCAUGCUUUUUAUAGAUUAAAAGGAGAAGUUUCAAGGACUUCUCGUGGUAGCCUUUAGAUUCGAGCUGCGUUCUCUUGGGUUAGUGGUUUCUUUCCAUUUGGGUUAGUUGUCGUAUUAAAUGCGAUUUCUACCUCUUAUCUUCACUUUCUAGUUGUAGUUUCUGGAUUUGGGAAAAUUUUUUUCCUGUUUUGUCUCGGGAAAGUUGUGGUUUUAUUGGGAAAUUCAGGCUUCUUGGUUGUUUUCUGAUAUGAUUUUCUGAAGUGCUUCUGCGUCAGUUUCUUGAUCGAUUCUCUGUUUGGUUACUUAGAAAAUAUGGGGAAGCAACUGAAAUCUCAUGUUUCUUGUCUUCUGAAUCUGAUUUUGUUUAACUGCUUAUUGGUAGCAGGCAAGACAAUAACCAUAACUAAAGUGGAUUAGUUUUGGUAGGCUCCACUGAUUAGGAUGGAUUUUCUUCUUUCCUCUUUCAAAUUUACAAUUAAGGAAAUUUAUUAUUUUUAAAUAUUGUUUUGGAUUAUAUAUGAACAAUUCUUAUUGUAAAGAAGUUGGCUGUCCUGGAUGCUGUAAAAGUUUCUGUAAAUCCUUAAUAUAUUUGGGAGGUUAAGCACAUUGAUGAGUAAUGACAGGCUGCCUCCAUUUCUGAGAGAGGGAAGAAGGGGAUCAAGGAAACAUUUUUAAUGCAAAAUCUAUUAUAUAUAUUUUUAAUGUGUUUUUUUAUAUUAGUCAAAACUAUGCACAAAAAUUUUUUCAAUCAUACUUUGUGUAUUAUCUAACUAACAUGAGAGUUUAACCUUGCAUUUGUAGAUAUGUGAAACUUUGAAGAGCAUUUGACUAAAAAUUCUUAACUCACUGCUUUGAAAUUUCAAGACCAAACAUGCAUCUCUAGCAAAAAUUUUCCAUACAUGACAAAAUAGGAAGAACAAUAAUGNN
This 1452-nucleotide long non-coding RNA is filed under the name Carica papaya (papaya). Its description in RNAcentral is "long non-coding RNA (CPAP_LNC005100)". Lineage: Eukaryota; Viridiplantae; Streptophyta; Magnoliopsida; Brassicales; Caricaceae. The record is from RNAcentral.